UCGCUUACUUCAGCAGCACAUAUACUGAAAACUAGAACGAUAGACAUUAGCAUGGCCCCUGCACAAGGAUGACACAAAUUUGUGAAGUAUUCCGUAAUUAA
RNAcentral lists this small nuclear RNA (101 nucleotides) under Bison bison bison. The record is from RNAcentral. Lineage: Eukaryota; Metazoa; Chordata; Mammalia; Artiodactyla; Bovidae.